AUGGCGGCCUAUCGCAAUGCCGUCCUCAAAAUAUCAGCUCGGUUCGAGGGGCUUGAAUUCCACCAUGUGGUUAGAGAAAAUAACCAAGCGGCCGAUACCCUCACCCGCAUCGGUGCUAGACGCGACCCCGUACCACCCAACAUAUUCUUAGAAAGGUUGUUGAAACCGUCCGUGGCAUGGGAAGGGGAGUCCGGCACCAUUAGUCCGGCUCCGAACACAACCCCAACUUCUGAACCUUCUGACGUAAUCGGAGGCUCUGCCACCGAAAUAACAUUUUCGGCCCACGAAAUAAUGGCUAUCAUCGUCCCGUGGACGGAGUCCUUCUUGGACUACCUUAAUAGGCAGGAGCUCCCCGAGGACCAAAAUGAGGCACGCUACAUGGUGCGACGCUCUAAAGCCUACAAAGUCCAUGAAGGAGAACUCUACAAGAAGAGCGCCACCGGAGUGCUCCAACGAUGCAUCUCUGAGGAGGAAGGGUGGUAG
This 483-nucleotide ribosomal RNA is filed under the name Triticum aestivum (bread wheat). RNAcentral describes it as "partial small subunit ribosomal RNA". The record is from RNAcentral. Lineage: Eukaryota; Viridiplantae; Streptophyta; Magnoliopsida; Poales; Poaceae.